RNAcentral lists this ribosomal RNA (419 nucleotides) under uncultured bacterium. Its description in RNAcentral is "bacterial SSU rRNA". It matches the Rfam family "Bacterial small subunit ribosomal RNA", at positions 355 to 774 of the family's 1533-position model. The record is from RNAcentral.
UGAGGAAUAUUGCACAAUGGGCGCAAGCCUGAUGCAGCGACGCCGCGUGUGGGAUGAAGGGGCUACGCCUCGUAAACCACUGUAGCCCGGGACGAAAAACGCCUUAGAGGCGUUAGACGGUACCGGGAAAGUAAGGGUCGGCUAACUACGUGCCAGCAGCCGCGGUAAUACGUAGGACCCAAGCGUUAAUCGGAAUUACUGGGCGUAAAGCGUGCGCAGGCGGUUUUGUAAGACAGAGGUGAAAUCCCCGGGCUCAACCUGGGAACUGCCUUUGUGACUGCAAGGCUGGAGUGCGGCAGAGGGGGAUGGAAUUCCGCGUGUAGCAGUGAAAUGCGUAGAUAUGCGGAGGAACACCGAUGGCGAAGGCAAUCCCCUGGGCCUGCACUGACGCUCAUGCACGAAAGCGUGGGGAGCAAACA